ACCGCGAUAGCUCAGCUGGUAGGGCAUCCGCUCGGUAUGCGGUGGUCGCCGGUUUGUUUCCGGCUAGCGGCU
RNAcentral lists this transfer RNA (72 nucleotides) under Fasciola hepatica (liver fluke). It matches the Rfam family "tRNA". From Rfam's summary of the family: Transfer RNA (tRNA) molecules are approximately 80 nucleotides in length. Their secondary structure includes four short double-helical elements and three loops (D, anti-codon, and T loops). The record is from Rfam by way of RNAcentral. Lineage: Eukaryota; Metazoa; Platyhelminthes; Trematoda; Plagiorchiida; Fasciolidae.